Centruroides sculpturatus (bark scorpion) is the source of this 710-nucleotide long non-coding RNA. RefSeq lists it as uncharacterized. The record is from RefSeq and is a predicted model, not a curated record. NCBI's taxonomy places the organism in Eukaryota, Metazoa, Arthropoda, Arachnida, Scorpiones, Buthidae. The transcript has 3 exons.
CAAAUAUUUUAUUCUUUAUAUCAUCAAUCAUUUAUAGGCCUUAAUUAAUAUAUGUAUUGAAGUUAGCAAAGUCAACAGCCUCAGAAGAAAACUUGAUGAAUAAUAUAGUGGCAAAUCUCAUUAAAUCUAACAAGGUGACCAAGCAAAAUAAUCAAUUCAGUGAAGAUUUAAGUAAAACCCUUCAAGAGAUUCAAUUAAAAUGACAGGCCUUAGAUGCCUUUAAUAAAAUAGUUUUGUUAUAUGAAGAACAGAUUGAACUCCAUCUUCAAUUCCAAAAGGAUGCUCUACCUCAUGAAAUUAAGCCGUUAAUGGAGAACUUUGAAUUGUUAAAAACUCAUCUCAGUAUUGUUCAAGAGAACAAGACCCAGUUAGAAAAUGAAUUGAAGUAUCAGACUGCAUACAAUCACUCACUUGACAGAGAAAUUAAAUCUUGACUUAAUACAUUCUGCAAAUAUAAGAUAUGUAUGUUUUAUAAGUUAUAUAGUUUUAAAAUAUUUUCUGUAUAUUAUCUAAGUUAAUACUAAGGAGUUUAUUUAUAACAGGAGUUUUUAGUUUUACUUGUGAAAAUUUAACAAAAUUUGGUCAAAAUGUUAUUUUGUGUAUUAAUUUUCAUUUCUGAGAUUUAAAAAUUAAGGGGAAAAAGCAGUUACAAUAGUUAUUAUUGAUAGAUUUCAUAUACAGUAUAAUACUAGUAUAUGAAAUCUGUCUUU